GAGACAAAUCCACCUACUUCCAGCAUUUCCCAGCAGGACAUUUUCUCCUAAGGAUUAACUCAGCUGUUUCCUGGGUGCUGGAACAGAUGGCAUUGGAUACGUUAUUCUACUGAGCCACUGGAGCAGAAAUUUCCACCACCGAUCAAACCUCGUUAUUGCAUUAGAUUUUGCACAUCAGGGGGGAAAAAAAAAGAGAGUGAAAACUUUUAAGUAUUUUACAUCUGCUGAUAGAACUUUUUACCUCCCAAGGGCAGCGUUUUGCCCUUGCUGACGCUGGUUUUUGGGGGGUUGUGCAGUGGGAGUCGCACAAAUGGAAAAUACCCCAAGUGCCCCGGGGGGGGUGACACGUUUGGUUAUUGCUGCCCUGAGCUGCACAGUGGUUACAGCUGUGACCUCAGCUGGGACUGCUACAGCACCAACCUGGGAGAGACUGAGACUUGCUGAGCUCUGUGUUGACCUGAGAUGUUGCUGUUCUACACCAGACACGUGGGAAGGAAGGAAAGCUACACAAAACUUCUGCUAAUUCCAAGAAGAUGCACGGACAACAGUUACUCUCAGAUGAAGGGCCUGCCUAAAACACCUUUUCUCACAAAGAAAACAUCCUGAACAGGAUGCAGUGAAGACCCACAGUCUGCUUCAGAAAUGAGAUUUGAGGUCAAGACAGAUCCUGCCCUCCUCGCCCCAUCUGACCGCCUGUACAAGUCAUUUAUCCCAGAUCUGCAUGGAAAGAGGGGGAUGAAUUUCACAUCCAAGAGGUCUCUGCGUAACAGACAGCAAGAUAAACUAAAUGGUGUCUUAAAA
Long non-coding RNA from Myiozetetes cayanensis, 801 nucleotides. RefSeq lists it as uncharacterized. NCBI's taxonomy places the organism in Eukaryota, Metazoa, Chordata, Aves, Passeriformes, Tyrannidae. The record is from RefSeq and is a predicted model, not a curated record. The transcript is spliced from 2 exons.